Long non-coding RNA from Cyprinus carpio carpio, 602 nucleotides. The record is from Ensembl. Lineage: Eukaryota; Metazoa; Chordata; Actinopteri; Cypriniformes; Cyprinidae.
UGGCUCCCUCUGCAGACUCUCUGUGAGACUUACAGGAUGCUAAAAUGGGUUUGACUCUCUGCUGGUAGAUAACCAUAUGUGGGUCAAAAAGCUAAAUUUUCAAAAUGAAGGAAAAUGAAUUUUCAAAAAUUUAAUUAAAAAAAAAAUAAUUUUUAAACAUUUUUAAUUUAUUGCUGCCUUCCGAUAUUUCGAAAAUAUCAGUUCAAGAAUAUAAUCUCAGGUUCUCUAAAUUAUUUAUGUCAUUAUGGUGUAAUCUGUAUUGGAUUUGCACAUUAAAUAUUUUAAUUGGAUGUAAUCAGCAAGCAAUUAUUUUCUAUGUGCAUUCGGUAGGUAGUGAAUGCUUCAGUCAAGGUACCUAACCUACAUGUGAUGCAUUUACUCAUAUGACGUUUUUAUUUUCUGAAGAAAAUUGUCGUAAUGUAAAACACAGUAAAUAAUGUGCUAUUUAACAAAAUGUUCUGCAAUAGUUAUCAGUAUUAACUAUGUCUGUGUAAUGUGGUUCAUUUAUGGACACUGAAUGAAGCACUUGACAAAAUAUCAGUAACAUCUGAAUGAAUAUCUCCAGUGUUAGAGUCAAUCUAACCUGACAAACACAGUUCAUG